GACGAACGCUGGGGGCGUGCUUAACACAUGCAAGUCGAACGAUGAAGCCGGAGCUUGCUCUGGUGAAUUAGUGGCGAACGGGUGAGUAACACGUGAGUAACCUGCCCUUGACUCUGGGAUAACUGCGGGAAACUGUAGCUAAUACCGGAUACGACCAUCGGAGGCAUCUCCUGGGGGUGGAAAGAAUUUCGGUCAAGGAUGGACUCGCGGCCUAUCAGCUAGUUGGUGAGGUAAAGGCUCACCAAGGCGACGACGGGUAGCCGGCCUGAGAGGGUGACCGGCCACACUGGGACUGAGACACGGCCCAGACUCCUACGGGAGGCAGCAGUGGGGAAUAUUGCACAAUGGGCGCAAGCCUGAUGCAGCAACGCCGCGUGAGGGAUGACGGCCUUCGGGAUGUAAACCUCUUUUAGCAGGGAAGAAGCGAAAGUGACGGUACCUGCAGAAAAAGCACCGGCUAACUACGUGCCAGCCGCCGCGGUAA
Molecule: ribosomal RNA, 484 nt
Filed under: uncultured bacterium
Lineage: Bacteria
Description: partial 16S ribosomal RNA
Rfam family: Bacterial small subunit ribosomal RNA
Source: RNAcentral